RNAcentral lists this transfer RNA (85 nucleotides) under Justicia americana. Its description in RNAcentral is "partial tRNA-Leu". Lineage: Eukaryota; Viridiplantae; Streptophyta; Magnoliopsida; Lamiales; Acanthaceae. The record is from RNAcentral.
AAAAUCCGUCGACUUUCAAAAUCGUGAGGGUUCAAGUCCCUCUAUCCCCAAAAACGCCUAUUUGACUCCCAAUUAUGCUAUCCCU